CUCAGAAGUGCCUGGCACAAGUCAUCUGUUGUCAUGAAGACUGUGUAUGUGAGAAGGAAGUCAUCCAGGAGAGUUUCCGUCUCUUUGUCCUGCGCGGCUUCCAGGUGCAGGUCGCUCAGGAGAUGCUCUAAAAUCUUCUCCGGCGUCCCCGACACCACCACGUACCUCCCGCGCCGCUCGGGGGCCGGGCUGCGUGACCACACCUUCCGCAGCACCAGCGCGGGGCCGGCCUCCUCCCGCGGCCGCUCGCGGCCGCCUCCAUCGUCCGCUUGUUGGUCGGUCUUCUCU
This 288-nucleotide long non-coding RNA is filed under the name Gallus gallus (chicken). Lineage: Eukaryota; Metazoa; Chordata; Aves; Galliformes; Phasianidae. The record is from RNAcentral.